RNAcentral lists this ribosomal RNA (575 nucleotides) under uncultured Alphaproteobacteria bacterium. RNAcentral describes it as "bacterial SSU rRNA". It matches the Rfam family "Bacterial small subunit ribosomal RNA", at positions 140 to 750 of the family's 1533-position model. Lineage: Bacteria; Pseudomonadati; Pseudomonadota; Alphaproteobacteria. The record is from RNAcentral.
GGAACAACUGAGGGAACUUCAGCUAAUACCGUAUGUGCCCUUCGGGGGAAAGAUUUAUCGCCAUUGGAGCGGCCCGCGUUAGAUUAGCUAGUUGGUGGGGUAAAGGCCUACCAAGGCAACGAUCUAUAGCUGGUCUGAGAGGAUGAUCAGCCACACUGGGACUGAGACACGGCCCAGACUCCUACGGGAGGCAGCAGUAGGGAAUCUUGCGCAAUGGGCGAAAGCCUGACGCAGCCAUGCCGCGUGAAUGAUGAAGGUCUUAGGAUUGUAAAAUUCUUUCACCGGGGACGAUAAUGACGGUACCCGGAGAAGAAGCCCCGGCUAACUUCGUGCCAGCAGCCGCGGUAAUACGAAGGGGGCUAGCGUUGCUCGGAAUUACUGGGCGUAAAGGGAGCGUAGGCGGAUAGUUUAGUCAGAGGUGAAAGCCCAGGGCUCAACCUUGGAAUUGCCUUUGAUACUGGCUAUCUUGAGUGUGGAAGAGGUAUGUGGAACUCCGAGUGUAGAGGUGAAAUUCGUAGAUAUUCGGAAGAACACCAGUGGCGAAGGCGACAUACUGGCCCAUUACUGACGCUGAG